CCCAGUACAUAGUUGUAUAUUCUUCGUUGUGGGUCCUUCUAGUUGUGGCAUCUGGGGCUGGCCCCGUGGCCGAGUGGUUAAGUUCGCGCGCUCCGCUGCAGGCGGCCCAGUGUUUCGUUGGUUCGAAUCCUGGGUGCGGACAUGGCACUGCUCAUCAAACCACGCUGAGGCAGCAUCCCACAUGCCACAACUAGAAGGACCCACAAUGAAGAAUAUACAACUAUGUACCAGGGGGCUUUGGGGAGAAAAAGGAAAAAAAUCUUUAAAAAUAAAAAUAAGGAAAGUCAGAGAAACUCUCACAACCAAGAAGAGCUUAAGGAAAGAUGAUUACUAAGUAGAACGUGGGGUCCUGGAUGGGAUGUUGAAACAGAAAAAGGUCACUAAGUACAGACCAAGGAAACCUGAAUAAAUAAUGGACUUUAGUUAAUAAUAGUGUAUCACUGGUGGUUCAUUAAUGGUAACAUAUGUGCCAUAUUAAUAAUAAUAAGGGAAGCUGAUUACAGGGUACAUGGGAACUCUCUGUACUAUCUCCUAAAUUUUUCUAUAAAUCUAAACUUGCUCUAAAGAUUCAAGUCUUUUUGGAAAAAAAACGCUGUUUGUUUUUUUUUUUUAAAGUUUAUUUGUGCUGAACUUAGGUGAGAUUAAGACCAUAGAGACCUUCCAUAAAUCUAAAAGUUAGACCAUGGUUAAGAUUAACUUGUUUAGGAAUGCUAAAAAUCAGAUAAGAAAAAGGUACCUUGAGGUAUCAGAGAUGGGUGAUUUGGUUUCCUAGUAGUCCUAAAGAUGCAAAUUUGAUUGGGAUACCCUUACAAAUCAUGACUCCGUGAAAAGUAAAGGAUAGAUUUGAGAAGCAAG
This 855-nucleotide long non-coding RNA is filed under the name Equus caballus (horse). Its description in RNAcentral is "lncRNA (ENSECAG00000048254.1)". Lineage: Eukaryota; Metazoa; Chordata; Mammalia; Perissodactyla; Equidae. The record is from RNAcentral.